Molecule: non-coding RNA, 600 nt
Organism: Cicer arietinum (chickpea)
Lineage: Eukaryota; Viridiplantae; Streptophyta; Magnoliopsida; Fabales; Fabaceae
Source: RefSeq, a predicted model, not a curated record
AUAUAUAUAUGGCACAUUUUGGUCCCUGUCAAUUGAGUUUGAAACAUCUUUGUAGAUCACUAUAAGUGGAAAUUAUGGUCAUCCUAAAGCAAGUGUGAUGCAAAUGAUAACCAUUCUGUUGCAGCCUAUGAUGGAUAAUUUGGAGACUCGGCCAAAUUAUGAGGCUUUUGAGAAAUCAUGAGGUGCAGCAAUUCCAUCUCAUGUGCCUAUAUAAUGUUUGUUUAGUGGGAAAUUAUGAGCAAAUAAAAAGAAAAAAAUUAAAGUCAAAUUAGACCAUUACUUCAAGGGUAGAAUGAUUUAUGCACCAAAAUAUUAAAUUUUGUGUUUUGUACUUCUUCCACAACGUAUCAGAGAAGAUAAUUUAAGUGUUAAGUAUCUUGUGUGAUAUAUUUGUGAGCAUUUAUUCUUUUAAGAGCACUAAUGGAUGAUUAGCAAGGGAUAUAUGGACACUAGGAGAUUUCUUUAUGGUGUAUUGGUUUUUGUUUAUUGUCAAAGUUAUGAUGAUGUGUUUAGGGUAUGGAUCGACGAAUAUACAAUGUACCGAUGUAAACUAUAUAAAGAAUGAGUCAAUGUUAAUUAAUAUUUUUCUUUUUGUUAUUA